GAUGAACGCUAGCUACAGGCUUAACACAUGCAAGUCGAGGGGAAACGAUGAGAGAGCUUGCUCUCUUAGGCGUCGACCGGCGCACGGGUGAGUAACGCGUAUCCAACCUACCCAUUACAGGGGGAUAACCUUGCGAAAGUAAGACUAAUACCCCAUGGCAUUUUAUGGUGGCAUCAUUAUAGGAUUAAAGAUUUAUUGGUAAUGGAUGGGGAUGCGUCUGAUUAGCUUGUUGGCGGGGUAACGGCCCACCAAGGCAACGAUCAGUAGGGGUUCUGAGAGGGAGGUCCCCCACAUUGGAACUGAGACACGGUCCAAACUCCUACGGGAGGCAGCAGUGAGGAAUAUUGGUCAAUGGGCGAGAGCUUGAACCAGCCAAGUAGCGUGCAGGAUGACGGCCCUAUGGGUUGUAAACUGCUUUUAUAGGGGAAUAAAGUGAGCUACGUGUAGUUUAUUGCAUGUACCCUAUGAAUAAGGACCGGCUAAUUCCGUG
Molecule: ribosomal RNA, 490 nt
Filed under: uncultured bacterium
Lineage: Bacteria
Description: partial 16S ribosomal RNA
Rfam family: Bacterial small subunit ribosomal RNA
Source: RNAcentral